CCACAAUGGGCGAAAGCCUGAUGGAGCAACGCCGCGUGUGUGAUGAAGGCUUUCGGGUCGUAAAGCACUGUUGUAUGGGAAGAACAGCUAGAAUAGGGAAUGAUUUUAGUUUGACGGUACCAUACCAGAAAGGGACGGCUAAAUACGUGCCAGCAGCCGCGGUAAUACGUAUGUCCCGAGCGUUAUCCGGAUUUAUUGGGCGUAAAGCGAGCGCAGACGGUUGAUUAAGUCUGAUGUGAAAGCCCGGAGCUCAACUCCGGAAUGGCAUUGGAAACUGGUUAACUUGAGUGCAGUAGAGGUAAGUGGAACUCCAUGUGUAGCGGUGGAAUGCGUAGAUAUAUGGAAGAACACCAGUGGCGAAGGCGGCUUACUGGACUGUAACUGACGUUGAGGCUCGAAAGUGUGGGUAGCAAACAGGAUUAGAUACCCUGGUAGUCCACACCGUAAACGAUGAACACUAGGUGUUAGGAGGUUUCCGCCUCUUAGUGCCGAAGCUAACGCAUUAAGUGUUCCGCCUGGGGAGUACGACCGCAAGGUUGAAACUCAAAGGAAUUGACGGGGACCCGCACAAGCGGUGGAGCAUGUGGUUUAAUUCGAAGCAACGCGAAGAACCUUACCAGGUCUUGACAUCCUUUGAAGCUUUUAGAGAUAGAAGUGUUCUCUUCGGAGACAAAGUGACAGGUGGUGCAUGGUCGUCGUCAGCUCGUGUCGUGAGAUGUUGGGUUAAGUCCCGCAACGAGCGCAACCCUUAUUGUUAGUUGCCAGCAUUCAGAUGGGCACUCUAGCGAGACUGCCGGUGACAAACCGGAGGAAGGCGGGGACGACGUCAGAUCAUCAUGCCCCUUAUGACCUGGGCUACACACGUGCUACAAUGGCGUAUACAACGAGUUGCCAACCCGCGAGGGUGAGCUAAUCUCUUAAAGUACGUCUCAGUUCGGAUUGUAGUCUGCAACUCGACUACAUGAAGUCGGAAUCGCUAGUAAUCGCGGAUCAGCACGCCGCGGUGAAUACGUUCCCGGGUCUUGUACACACCGCCCGUCACACCAUGGGAGUUUGUAAUGCCCAAAGCCGGUGGCCUAACCUUUAGGAAGAGCCGUCUAAGUCAGAUCG
Molecule: ribosomal RNA, 1110 nt
Filed under: Leuconostoc pseudomesenteroides
Lineage: Bacteria; Bacillati; Bacillota; Bacilli; Lactobacillales; Lactobacillaceae
Description: bacterial SSU rRNA
Rfam family: Bacterial small subunit ribosomal RNA
Source: RNAcentral